Molecule: long non-coding RNA, 1581 nt
Organism: Xenopus laevis (African clawed frog)
Lineage: Eukaryota; Metazoa; Chordata; Amphibia; Anura; Pipidae
Exons: 7
Source: RefSeq, a predicted model, not a curated record
UUAAUUACACUUUUAAGCUCUGCACCUAGAUUGUACACUAAUUGUCUCUCUCUCUAUUUACCAGCAGUCAAUAUUGGAAACUGGUAAUACCAACAGCCAGGAAGAAAAAACACUGGCAGAGGACCUGAGCAAUACCAUCAGCCAGGUGGAGCUCGAGGAGAGCGAUGAGUACAACUGUCAGCAUGAAAAUGAUGAGUCCUCAUCUGAAACUGGCAACAACAUUGGCCAGUAAUGCCCAGAGGAAGAUUAUCUGGGCAGUGACCUCCGGGAGGAAAAGGCUGAAGAGAUUGUUGAGGUAUGGCAAGAAGAAGAAAUAAAAGAAACGACCAUAGAAAACGAUGGAAAGGAGGGAUGGCAACAAGUGCAAAUAAGAAAAGUGGUCAUAGAAGUCAUCAAUGACCAGGGGGAGAAAGAACUACACAUCAUUGAACACCGGGAGAUUCUCCAAAUGGUUAAAGUUCAAAUCAAUGCUGACUACUGUUAUGAGGCAUUUCAUUACCAUUCCUCUGAAAGCAACAUGCCAUAUGAUGAGCAAUGGGAGUCAUCAUCAGUUUUAGAUGAUGACUGAACAGUGACAUCAGCCAGAACGAGAACCUGGAAGACAAAUAUCUGGUAAGUUACCUCACUGAUGAAGAGUAUGAGAAGAGUUUUGAGGUUUGAGCUUAAAUAAUUUUAAACCAUUUUAAACCUAUUUUGGCCCCAAUACAGGUCCCCUAUCAAAUCACACAGACUACUCUGUAGGCCCCAUUCCCCUCCCCCAUACCCAAAUUCGAAUUCACAGGUGAUCAAAAUAAAAGCAUAAUUCCAUCCCUUAUUUAUGAUCAUGUGCAAUUGCAGCAGAUUCAACUUGGAGUGCCGCCACAAUUAAUUUAGAAUUAUGAGAAAAAUGCUGCUUUUAAACACAUGGCAAAUAUUUGUUCCUGAUCUUUGUAUUUUUUUUACCAACUCAGCAUCACAUUGAGCUACAUAAUAUUAAUUUAAACAGCAUAUUUAAAGGAAGCUAAAAGGAUGUGAUAAGCUCACGGGCGCCAUGUCCUCUCUUUGUGAAUUGAGCGGGGUAAUGGCGCAUGUGCAUUUGGAGCAAUCUUCCGGUUCGUGACAACUGCGCAUGCGCCGAAAGAGGCAGAAAUUGCCGAAUGGGAGGAAGAAGAUCCAAAGAUUAUCAAAGAGUAGAAGACGGCACCCGUGAGCUCCGCUGUGCAGUCACUAUUUCAAGAGGGGACAGAAUUCUGGGGUAAGACUGUGUAGGGGGAGGCAGGGAGCAGGGCCAACAGUGGGAGAGAGUGGGGACUUAACAUCAUGGGGGGGGGGUUAGUUCUCCUUUAAGAAUUUCAACUAGAUAGAUGAUUCACAGAUUGUUUCUAUUUACCAGGCAUCAUCAGCUGGCAUCAACAUCAGCCAGUAGGAGUACCCAGAAGAAAAUAUCUGGGUAAUAACUUCAGUGAUAAAGAGAAUGGGGAAUUUGAGAUUUGAACUACCCCAGGAUUUGGUUACUGGAAGUGUCCCCAAUGGCCCUUUCUCCUAACUACACAACCCUGACCUCCCCUUUAAUAACGAGACACAGGACACUGUAAUUGUCAG